This 89-nucleotide transfer RNA is filed under the name Dipodomys ordii (Ord's kangaroo rat). It matches the Rfam family "tRNA". Rfam says of the family: Transfer RNA (tRNA) molecules are approximately 80 nucleotides in length. Their secondary structure includes four short double-helical elements and three loops (D, anti-codon, and T loops). Lineage: Eukaryota; Metazoa; Chordata; Mammalia; Rodentia; Heteromyidae. The record is from Rfam by way of RNAcentral.
GGAACUGUGGCUCAAUUGGUAGAGCAUUAUCCUUGAGCUAAAGAGUUGAGGACAGUGCCCAGGCCUAGAGUUCAAGCCCUACAACUCCA